Molecule: long non-coding RNA, 1533 nt
Organism: Ailuropoda melanoleuca (giant panda)
Lineage: Eukaryota; Metazoa; Chordata; Mammalia; Carnivora; Ursidae
Exons: 3
Source: RefSeq, a predicted model, not a curated record
AUGUGAGCAGAGCAGGAUGAGGGGCAGAGGGGGAGGGAGAGGGAUAAGCGGACUCUGCGCUGACCGUGGAGCUCAGUUGGGGCUUGACAUGGGGCUCUAUCCCACAACCCUGAGACCAAAACCUGAGCUGAAAGCAAGAGUCUGAUGCUCAACCAACUGAGCCACCCAGGCGCCCUGUAGGGUAUUUUUUAUGGCAUUUUUUACAGCAGGGGGACGGGGGGUUGGCACCUCUAACCUCUGUAUUGUUCAAGGGUCAGCUGUAGUAGUGAUAGACCCAGUGCAUGACUUCACAAGGCUUAGUGAGGGGAGAGAAUAGAAAACUGAGUACUAUGCUGAAUUUGGCUGGGGUUGGGGGGAGAUCUGGGAAAGCUUUCCUAAAGCAAAGACUUUGAAGCUGAAACCUGAAGAAGAAAUAGAAGACCACCAGUAGAGGUUUAAAUAGAGGCUAAGCCUUGAGGGAGGAGCCAAUGUGUGGCAAUCCCAGAGCUGAAAGACCAGAACGGCCAGAAUGAAACCAGCCGGCGGCAGCACACAGGGAAGCCUGAAGAGACCACUGAAGCCUGGUCUCACGGGCCUUGAAUGUUCCUUCCAGUAUUUUUUAUAAAGCGUAAGAAAUGAAGAGUUACCUACAGCAUGUAUCAGCCAACUUCUUCUGUAAAGAGGCCAGAUGAAAUAGAAAAACCCAUCCUAAAAUUCAGAUGGAAUCUCAAGAGAUGCCAAGUAGCCAAAAUACUCUCAUAAAAGAACAAAGCUGGAAGACUACACUUCCAUUUCAAAACUUCCUGCAAAGCUACAGUGAGGAAACUGAGGCUGAGACAGAGACUGAUCCAAGUUCAAGGAGCCAGCACGACUUGAAUCUUGUUCUCUCUGAUUCCAAAUCCAGAAAUCCAGCCUGUUGGUUUGGUCUUGGUGGUGGACAGUGGAUGAAGGGGUGGGGGGGUCUGGGGUGGAGGAGUACGUGAUUCGUAACUGAAUCUAGGUCAACCCAGAUUUUUUUUUUUUUCAUUUUCUUUUUCACCCUCUGGUAGGACUUCCUCCUUAUCUCUCUCUGUCUCUUUUUCUGAUUCACUCCCCAUCUGUUAGUGGUCUCUGGCUUCUGGGAAUGUGAUGCAGAGGGUAGGGUGGUUGUGGGGGUGGGGAGGUAGACACAAAGUGUGGGCAGUCCUUAAUAAACAAAUAUUUUUUGAGAGCUCUGUAGGUACCAGGCUGUUCUGGAGGUUGAAUACGACAGACCUUGUCCCUGCCCUCAAGGGGAUUCCAUUACAGGGUAUAUAUGAGUGUGAGUGGCAGGUGAGGGAUAGAGAGGGGGAUGGAGUGGAAGGGGAAGUAGGGGAGGGGGAGGGAAGUAGAUGCAGACGAGGAAGAAGAUGUGGCCGGUGUCAAUAGGGGCUAUAAAGGAGAUGUGAGAGAGAGUGCCUGGGGAGCAAGGCGACUGGAGACAGUAAGAACAAGACAGGCCUGGCUCAGGAGCUGAGGUGAGACCUGGAGCAUGGAAAGGAGGCAGCUGAAGAUGUGGGAGAAGAACACUACAGG